UAAAGAAAAUGUUCUGCUUCUUUUCUGUAAGGAACCCAGCACUCACAAGAAAACAGAAUUACUAUGAUUUUUUUGAGCAACAACAGAAACAUGGGUAUUCAGAAGCUAUAAACUACCACUCUGCGUUACUAGUAGAGUUUUGGCAUUCACAUUCCACCAGUAUGUUUCAGUGCCUGUGUCAUCAUUGGAGACCAUUCUCAUUUUUUGCCUCUUCCCCAUGUCCUUAUUUCUCCAAAAUGUUCAAAGAGAAAGGUGUGUGAACAUUACAGUUGGAAUAUUAGGAUACUCAGAGCCAUUUCGUUGUCUAAAUCAUCUGUGUCUUCAUGUUUGACAUUGAGGCAUUAGACUAUUUGACAAGUUAGAAAGCAGGCAGGAAUUGUAAAAUGGCAGCUCCUGAAACUGAAGUAGUUACUCAUCGUUGCCCCAAGAGAACCCAGACUGUUCUUAUAUGGUCAUAAAACUAACGCAGCAAGAAUUCUACUCCCCACCCUCCACAACUCUAUUGCCCUCAGAUGGAGUGGGGUGAAACUGCGUUUUCUAAGUUUCAGAAAAGUUUCCUUUGGCACAGUAAGAUAGUGGGAGUACACAGGUGGCUUGUUCUCUUUCUCCUUUGUUUUUAACUUAGCUUGCAAAGAAAGUUCACACUAUGUAAAGAUUUUCACAGUUAUGUACUAACAAAUCUGGAGGAUUUGUUGCACUUAUGCAAGGAAGUCAGAUUUGAAAAUAAAACUGUUUUUCUGUUUGUGGGCACAGGGAUGAACAUAUGGCCAACACCUGGAAUUUAUAGAAGCCUUACCCAAUAAAACCUCCUGAGACAUUCCAAGAAUGACAACACAGUGAUGGUGUGGAACAGAACUGCCAAAGGAGCAGUGACAUGGGUUCAAGAUGGCCAGGACGCUGAAACCACGUUCUUCAACUCAUCUUACAAAGGGAAAACUCCAGCUACAAGAUGCUAAUGGAGACUUGCAGCCCACCUUGAAGUAUAAAGAUCCAGUGACUGAUGGAGUUCAUCUGCUGUCACUAAUUUUCUUGGUCAGAGAUUAUAGUCCCAACCCAGCAUGCCAUCUAGCAAAUGUCUAUACUUGGAUAUGGAAGACAAAAGGAGAAUCCAAAGGCAGAAGACAAAAAAAAAAAAAAAAAAAAAAAAAAAAACACCUCGUGAAUGUAAUGAAUCAAUACAAAUCCAUCACUGCUAUUGGAAAAGAUGUCACGAAAUGAUUGUCACAACAAUAACUUCCAUUUAUCUCUUUCUCCUUACACCCUUUUGUGUAUGGCUCAAGCCGCUGUUUGUACAACCUGGAUAUAGAGAUAUCAUUUUGCAAGAAUUCUGCACCGUGGAUAAUUGAACAAGCAUUCACAGACCCUUUAUAAUAGUACUUUAUUUUACACUCCUCACAAAUUCUUUUUUUCAUCUUUGCUAUCAGUUUGCUAUCGUUAAUUAUUUUCUUUUUAAAUUUAUUUAUUUUUAUUUUGUCAAAUUAAAACUACAUAUUUAUCACAUACAAGAUGUCCUGAAAUGUGUAUAUAGUGUGCAGAUUAUCAGAUGCAUGACUUCACAUACUUUUCAUUUUUGUGUGCUGAGGACAUUCAGAGUCCACUUUCUUAGAAUCUUCAAGAACACAACACAUUGCUGUUAACCACAGUCACCAAGUUGUAUAAUAGCCUUCUUUAAUUUAUUCAAAGAAAUGUGUGCUAAUUGUUCACUCUCUCCCCAAGCUUUCAUCUCACCCACCCUGACAAGCCCUGGUAGCCACUUCCAUAGGUUCAACUUUUCAGAUAAUACAAAUAUAUGAGAUCAUGAGGUAUUUGUCUUCAUGUGCCUGGCUUAUUUCACUUAACAUAAUGUUCUCUAGGUUUACCCAUGUUGUCACAGAAGACAGGAUUUCCUUUUCUAUAAAGGCUGAAGAGUAUUCUAUUGUGAAUAUUUUCCACAUUUCCAUUGUCCAUCCAUCAGUUGGUAGAUACUUAGCUUGUUUCCAUUUUUUGCUAUUGUGAAUGGUGUUGCAAUAAACAUGGAGAACAAUCAUCUCUUC
Molecule: long non-coding RNA, 2033 nt
Filed under: Oryctolagus cuniculus (rabbit)
Lineage: Eukaryota; Metazoa; Chordata; Mammalia; Lagomorpha; Leporidae
Description: lncRNA (ENSOCUG00000034860.1)
Source: RNAcentral